This 253-nucleotide ribosomal RNA is filed under the name uncultured bacterium. RNAcentral describes it as "partial 16S ribosomal RNA". It matches the Rfam family "Bacterial small subunit ribosomal RNA", at positions 524 to 776 of the family's 1533-position model. The record is from RNAcentral.
UACAGAGGUCCCAAGCGUUGUUCGGAUUCACUGGGCGUAAAGGGUGCGCAGGUGGGCUGGCAAGUUCGAUGUGAAAGCCCCGGGCUUAACCCGGGAAUGGCAUUGGAAACUGCCGGCCUGGAGGAUCGGAGGGGGGACUGGAAUUCUUGGUGUAGCAGUGAAAUGCGUAGAUAUCAAGAGGAACACCAGUGGCGAAGGCGAGUCCCUGGACGAUACCUGACACUGAGGCACGAAAGCCAAGGGAGCAAACAGG